UGAGUGACAUAAUAAUCCAUUUGCAUGUAAAUCUACAAAGACGGAUUAGUUCUUCGAACGCCCGUGGGACCGCCGCCACAAUGUACUGAAACCGUGCGUCGUUGCGCACAUAAUCAUCUUCCUUGGAAUGAUCUCAAUCAUUAUCUCAUUUUCAGCACGCUUACCUACCUGUCAUUAAAUCGUCUGUUUCCUUCUGGUAUAUAAGGAUGGUUAUCUAGAGUGGUAAGUCAUCGAUCAGUCUGCAGCUGAGUUUAUCUCUUGUGAUUUGAGCAGUAAGCUACCCGGAUAAAUAUGGCAAAACUCGUUAUCCUCUUCUCCGUGCUGAUGUUAGCGGCCCUGGCCGCCGCCGGCGACGACGCGACCACGCCCGCCGACCCCACAACCACUAUCGCCCCCAGCAAUGACACCGCGCCCGCCGCCGCCGACGCCACUCUCGCCGCCGACACCAACCAACCUAACCAGACGCCCAAAGCUGCCAACAGUGAAAAACAAGGCAGCAGAUAGACUGACCUUUGACGUUAUGACGGUUUUUGAAUUGCCACGUCUGUAUUUUUCAAUUUAGAUUACUACGUUAUAUUCGGCAGCAUAUUUUAGAAAGGUGUUUUUUUACACCAUAAGUAAAUAUUCCAUUUCAUGGCCCCUUAUUCUAAUUUCUUUUAUCUUACGAUUGCAAUUUCACUCACAUAUUUAAUAUAUAAUGUUAGUAGUACAACAUUUUAAAUUCAAUUAGGUACUUGAUUCUCUGUCUUCGUUGAUUCAAAUGGCAUGUAAUUUCUUUGUGAUAUUAAGGUAGGUAUUUAAUCCUUUUUAAGGAGUUGUGGCGUUCAAAGGAUCACUUUCAUUCCCCUCAAGACUGUCAUCGCUCUUAAUCUAACUAUCGUUAGAACAUGCUUCGUUUUAUGACUUGAUUUUAUUAAAGGCUUGUAUUCUAAGUAAGGAAAGAAGUGUGUCUUCUAGCCAUAUUUGAUGCCUUAUUUACGCACAUUUUAUUAAACAUCUACGAAUUAGAACAUUCAUUCUUCAUUCAUUUGAUUAAAUCUCAUUAUUUAAAGAAAUCAUAAUAAUAAACCACUUUAAAAAAUAAUUAAGUUUAUAAAUAAAUUAUUGAUAACUCUUA
Long non-coding RNA from Cydia fagiglandana, 1117 nucleotides. RefSeq lists it as uncharacterized. Lineage: Eukaryota; Metazoa; Arthropoda; Insecta; Lepidoptera; Tortricidae. The transcript is spliced from 2 exons. The record is from RefSeq and is a predicted model, not a curated record.